AGGUGCGAUCAUACCAGCACUAAUGCACCGGAUCCCAUCAGAACUCUGCAGUUAAGCGUGCUUGGGCAAGAGUAGUACUAGGAUGGGUCAGGACCUCUUGGGAAGUCCUCGUGUUGCACCUC
This 122-nucleotide ribosomal RNA is filed under the name Vigna angularis (adzuki bean). Lineage: Eukaryota; Viridiplantae; Streptophyta; Magnoliopsida; Fabales; Fabaceae. The record is from RNAcentral.